UGCAGUCGAACGAUGAAGCCCAGCUUGCUGGGUGGAUUAGUGGCGAACGGGUGAGUAACACGUGAGUAACCUGCCCUUAACUCUGGGAUAAGCCUGGGAAACUGGGUCUAAUACCGGAUAGGAGCGUCCACCGCAUGGUGGGUGUUGGAAAGAUUUAUCGGUUUUGGAUGGACUCGCGGCCUAUCAGCUUGUUGGUGAGGUAAUGGCUCACCAAGGCGACGACGGGUAGCCGGCCUGAGAGGGUGACCGGCCACACUGGGACUGAGACACGGCCCAGACUCCUACGGGAGGCAGCAGUGGGGAAUAUUGCACAAUGGGCGCAAGCCUGAUGCAGCGACGCCGCGUGAGGGAUGACGGCCUUCGGGUUGUAAACCUCUUUCAGUAGGGAAGAAGCGAAAGUGACGGUACCUGCAGAAGAAGCACCGGCUAACUACGUGCCAGCAGCCGCGGUAAUACGUAGGGUGCGAGCGUUAUCCGGAAUUAUUGGGCGUAAAGAGCUCGUAGGCGGUUUGUCGCGUCUGUCGUGAAAGUCCGGGGCUUAACCCCGGAUCUGCGGUGGGUACGGGCAGACUAGAGUGCAGUAGGGGAGACUGGAAUUCCUGGUGUAGCGGUGGAAUGCGCAGAUAUCAGGAGGAACACCGAUGGCGAAGGCAGGUCUCUGGGCUGUAACUGACGCUGAGGAGCGAAAGCAUGGGGAGCGAACAGGAUUAGAUACCCUGGUAGUCCAUGCCGUAAACGUUGGGCACUAGGUGUGGGGACCAUUCCACGGUUUCCGCGCCGCAGCUAACGCAUUAAGUGCCCCGCCUGGGGAGUACGGCCGCAAGGCUAAAACUCAAAGGAAUUGACGGG
RNAcentral lists this ribosomal RNA (849 nucleotides) under Micrococcus sp. RNAcentral's name for it is "bacterial SSU rRNA". It matches the Rfam family "Bacterial small subunit ribosomal RNA", at positions 56 to 917 of the family's 1533-position model. The record is from RNAcentral. Lineage: Bacteria; Bacillati; Actinomycetota; Actinomycetes; Micrococcales; Micrococcaceae.